UGCGCCCUUUGGUAUUCCGAAGGGCAUGCCUGUUUGAGUGUCAUGAAACCUCACUCCACUUGGGUUUUUGCCUGAGUGGUAGUGUAUUGGGUGUUGCCUUGCCAAAGGCUCGCCUUAAAAGAAUAAGCACCUUGGAUGUAAUACGUUUCAUCCUUUCGGGUGGCUAAUAACCCCACAUAACUCAUGAUCUGGCCUCAAAUCAGGUAGGGCUACCCGCUGAACUUAAGCAUAUCAAUAAGCGGAGGAAAAGAAACUAACUAGGAUUCCCUUAGUAACGGCGAGUGAACCGGGAUGAGCUCAAAUUUGAAAUCUGGCGUCUUUCAGGCGUCCGAGUUGUAAUCUAUAGAGGCGUUUUCCGCGCCGGACCGCGUCCAAGUCUCUUGGAGUAGAGUAUCAAAGAGGGUGACAAUCCCGUACUUGACGCGACAACCGGUGCUCUGUGAUACGUUCUCAACGAGUCGAGUUGUUUGGGAAUGCAGCUCUAAAUGGGUGGUAAAUUCCAUCUAAGGCUAAAUAUUGGCGAGAGACCGAUAGCGAACAAGUACCGUGAGGGAAAGAUGAAAAGCACUUUGGAAAGAGAGUUAAACAGCACGUGAAAUUGUUAAAAGGGAAACGAUUGAAGUCAGUCGUGUGAAAGGUAUUCAGCCGUCUCUGGCGGUGUAUUUGCCUUUCACGGGUCAACAUCAGUUUAGUCCGGUAGAAAAAGGCUGGAGGAAGGUGGCACCCUCGGGUGUGU
This 736-nucleotide ribosomal RNA is filed under the name uncultured Cryptococcus. RNAcentral's name for it is "eukaryotic LSU rRNA". The stretch from base 190 to 736 matches the Rfam family "Eukaryotic large subunit ribosomal RNA", at positions 1 to 554 of the family's 3401-position model. The record is from RNAcentral. Lineage: Eukaryota; Fungi; Basidiomycota; Tremellomycetes.